GACCCUCUUCCUUACCCCCAUCAUCACUCACCCACAAGCAAACCUAACACAGACACAAGUGAAACCCAUAGCAGUGCCAAAAUCAAAGAAGGAAAGGGAGAAGAGGGUUGACGGGGACGGAGGCCGCUGCCCAAUCCGCGCCGCCGUUGCCCUCGUCGCGUCGCGCCGCCAGUGUCACGUUGCCGUGCUCCCGCUACAGUCCGACGCGUCUUGCCUGCGCCAUCACUCGCGCCCAUCGCCGUCGCAGGAGGAGCUAGCGUUGCUGUCGAACGGUGCUGAGCCACCGAAGCCGUCACCUUGCCGUCGUGCCUUGUCCUUGUUGCCGCACGAACAGAGGAGAGUGAGGGACCUAGAGAGAAAGGGCGAAGAACGGAGCCAUCACGGGGGCCCUGGCCGCCGCUGCCGGAGGCGUGGAGGAAGGGAGAGCAGUCGCACAUCCAGCUGCGUCGCCACCAUGCCUUGCCUCGCCGCCGUUGAUCUAUCCGCAGUCCACUUCCGCCGGAGCUCAUGCCAUCGCCGAUUGAGCACCACGAAGAACAUAGGGUGCGCUCGAUGAGUGAGAAGGGAUGGAGGCUGGGUUUUUGUCCCUGUACUACUCCAUUUCUACCUCUACCAUGCCCUAUUGAAACUGUCGGAGCCUCUGCCAUCAUCGGGGUGGCUGUUUAGUUGAUGCUGCUGCCUGGGUCGCUGCGGUACGAGCUGCCGUCAAUGGAGCUGCUCCGUGCAGUGGUUUCGGUGAGUUUCGACACUGAGCUGCUAUUAUCAGAAAUUCAGGCCGCCGUUAUCGCUCGGAAUUUAACGGAGCCGCUGCCGGGUUGCCGCCGAACCGGUUCGGAGACCGCCGCUGUUUCAGUUCAGCCCUCCUUCGGCUCGAGUUGUUGAGACUGUUGCGAAAGUGGCUUGGAACCGAGGUUUUGGCUGCCGAGAUUUUGAUUGUUGAUUUUGGGUCGAGGCGGAAAGGAUUCUGUGACGCGUUUGGGCUAUGGUUUUGCGUUUUGAGGAUAUGGGCGCAGAAGUUACGAAGAAUUUAUUUAGUUGUUGUUGAGAUGCUCUGUAUUGUUUUAGUUAUGGUCUAUUGUACCCUCGCCUUUAUCUUGAUAUAUUCUGUAAGAGGGAUAGGAACUGUUUUGGAUAAUACUUGUAAUAUCAUUUAUGUAUAUAUAUAUAUACAUGUAUGUACGCUUUAUGAGUUAUUGUAAGUGUAUUGUAUGCAUGGAUGUACGUUGUAAUCCAAAAGUAUCUUUUGGAUUGGUAUUGCGGUUUAAAGUUUUUAAACAGGCUCAUAUUUUGGUAUUAAAUUGUAUAAGUGUCGUCGUAAUGUCCGAGCUAUCAGAGUUGCGCAGCCGGAAGCGUGAGCUUUGGUAGUUAGGGUGUUACAGUAAACCCAUACAAGCAUUUAUUGAAGAUGACCAUGGUAAAAAUGUUUUACAUGUAGACAGGACCUAAAUUUUAUUGAAGAUGACCAUGGUAAGCAUUCAUACAAGUACUAAUUCAAUCAACAGAGUAGCAAACACCUAAAUUUUAACUAGAGAAACUAUUCCAAUUUUUUAAAUACUUUCUCACCUCUCCCUGGAAUUAAGUUCAUCACCUAAACAUAAUCUCAAGAUAAAAUAAAAAAUCCAUAGCACCAAAAUGACAGCCAAA
Molecule: long non-coding RNA, 1644 nt
Organism: Arachis stenosperma
Lineage: Eukaryota; Viridiplantae; Streptophyta; Magnoliopsida; Fabales; Fabaceae
Exons: 4
Source: RefSeq, a predicted model, not a curated record